AACCAUAGAAACCUGCGGAGUACCUGCGGAGGGAUCAUUACCGAGUUUACAACUCCCAAACCCCUGUGAACAUACCUAUACGUUGCCUCGGCGGAUCAGCCCGCGCCCUGUAAAAAGGGACGGCCCGCCCGAGGACCCUAAACUCUGUUUUUAGUGGAACUUCUGAGUAAAACAAACUAAUAAAUCAAAACUUUUAGCAACGGAUCU
This 207-nucleotide unclassified non-coding RNA is filed under the name soil metagenome. Its description in RNAcentral is "partial contains 5.8S ribosomal RNA, internal transcribed spacer 2, and large subunit ribosomal RNA". The record is from RNAcentral.